AACGCGAAGAACCUUACCAGGUCUUGACAUCCAACUAACGAGGCAGAGAUGCGUCAGGUGCCCUUCGGGGAAAGUUGAGACAGGUGGUGCAUGGUUGUCGUCAGCUCGUGUCGUGAGAUGUUGGGUUAAGUCCCGCAGCGAGCGCAACCCUUGCCAUUAGUUGCUACGCAAGAGCACUCUAAUGGGACUGCCGUUGAUAUAACGGAGGAAGGUGGGGACGACGUCAAAUCAUCAUGCCCCUUAUGACCUGGGCUACACACGUACUACAAUGGCCGUUAACAGAGGGAAGCAAUACAGCGAUGUGGAGCAAACCCCCAAAAACGGUCCCAGUUCGGAUUGCAGGCUGAAACUCGCCUGUAUGAAGGUGGAAUUGCUAGUAAUCGCGGAUCAGCAUGCCGCGGUGAAUACGUUCCCGGGUCUUGUACACACCG
RNAcentral lists this ribosomal RNA (431 nucleotides) under uncultured bacterium. RNAcentral's name for it is "bacterial SSU rRNA". It matches the Rfam family "Bacterial small subunit ribosomal RNA", at positions 958 to 1392 of the family's 1533-position model. The record is from RNAcentral.